This 73-nucleotide transfer RNA is filed under the name Ditrema temminckii (Temminck's surfperch). Its description in RNAcentral is "tRNA-Trp". It matches the Rfam family "tRNA". Rfam says of the family: Transfer RNA (tRNA) molecules are approximately 80 nucleotides in length. Their secondary structure includes four short double-helical elements and three loops (D, anti-codon, and T loops). Lineage: Eukaryota; Metazoa; Chordata; Actinopteri; Embiotocidae. The record is from RNAcentral.
AGGAACUUAGGAUAGCACUGUAAACCAAGAGCCUUCAAAGCCCUAGACGGGGGUGAAAAUCUCCCAGUUCCUG